AGCGAGUGCCUACGGGAGCAGCAGUGGGGAAUAUUGGGCAAUGGGCGCAAGCCUGACCCAGCAACGCCGCGUGAAGGAAGAAGGCUUUCGGGUUGUAAACUUCUUUUCUGAGGGACGAAGAAAGUGACGGUACCUCAGGAAUAAGCCACGGCUAACUACGUGCC
RNAcentral lists this ribosomal RNA (164 nucleotides) under uncultured bacterium. RNAcentral's name for it is "partial 16S ribosomal RNA". It matches the Rfam family "Bacterial small subunit ribosomal RNA", at positions 330 to 509 of the family's 1533-position model. The record is from RNAcentral.